RNAcentral lists this ribosomal RNA (316 nucleotides) under uncultured Chelatococcus sp. RNAcentral describes it as "bacterial SSU rRNA". It matches the Rfam family "Bacterial small subunit ribosomal RNA", at positions 8 to 352 of the family's 1533-position model. Lineage: Bacteria; Pseudomonadati; Pseudomonadota; Alphaproteobacteria; Hyphomicrobiales; Chelatococcaceae. The record is from RNAcentral.
AGAGUUUGAUCCUGGCUCAGAACGAACGCUGGCGGCAGGCUUAACACAUGCAAGUCGAACGCCCCUUUCGGGGGGAGUGGCAGACGGGUGAGUAACGCGUGGGAGCGUGCCCUUCAGUUCGGAAUAACCCAGGGAAACUUGGGCUAAUACCGGAUACGUGCGAGAGCAGAAAGAUUUAUCGCUGAAGGAUCGGCCCGCGUCUGAUUAGCUGGUUGGUGAGGUAAUGGCUCACCAAGGCGACGAUCAGUAGCUGGUCUGAGAGGAUGAUCAGCCACAUUGGGACUGAGAGACGGCCCAGACUCCUACGGGAGGCAGC